CCCUUAGAUGAUUUGGGCUGCACGCGCGCUACACUGACCCUAACAAUGAGCAACUGUCUGGCCUGAGAUGGCUGGGUAGCCUUUUCAACCCAUGUCAUGAUUGGGCUAGAUUUUUGUAAGUCUUGAUCUCUAACGAGGAAUCCCUAGUAUGCGUGAAUCAUCAAUCCAUGCAGAUUAUGUCCCUGCCCUUUGUACACCCCGCCCGUCGCUCCUACUGAUUGGGUGAUCCGGUGAGCUGUUCGGCCAUAGCAAUGUUUCUUGAGCAGGGCAAUGAAUGUUUCGCAAACCUUGCCACUUAGAGGAAGGAGAAGUCGUAACA
RNAcentral lists this ribosomal RNA (319 nucleotides) under uncultured eukaryote. RNAcentral's name for it is "partial 18S ribosomal RNA". It matches the Rfam family "Eukaryotic small subunit ribosomal RNA", at positions 1470 to 1796 of the family's 1831-position model. The record is from RNAcentral.